Molecule: non-coding RNA, 388 nt
Organism: Pseudomonas putida
Lineage: Bacteria; Pseudomonadati; Pseudomonadota; Gammaproteobacteria; Pseudomonadales; Pseudomonadaceae
Source: Rfam
ACAACAACAAUAAAAAAUGCGACAACCCAAUAAAAAUAAGACGUACCGGCUCUGACAUAACAAGAACAACACGGCAGAGGCGCAGCUAACAGAUUUUUUUGAAGUGGAUGGCUUUUCGGGGGCGUGCCCCGCGACCUGACAGAGAACAAUAAAACUACCCCAAGGUAGCGCCCGUCUCGGUUGGAUCAGCAAUGAUAAAGGUCGAUCAGCGCUCAAAAAAAUACGUUUGCUCUUGAUCCCGGAUGGGGAUCGCAACGCAACAAGAGGCAAGGGUCGCCAAAAACAACAAUAGACCACCCUUCAAUAAUAAAAAGAGCACACGCAACAAAAUUUGAGGGGAGCCCAGGCUCCCCUCAGUGCUUGCUGCCCUACUCGUUCUGCUGGUCAU